GUUAUAGGAUCAAGCGACUAAGUGCAUGUGGUGGAUGCCUUGGCGAUUACAGGCGAUGAAGGACGUAGUAGCCUGCGAUAAGCUACGGGGAGCUGGCAAACAAGCUUUGAUCCGUAGAUUUCCGAAUGGGGAAACCCACAGCUUCGGCUGUAUCGCAUACUGAAUACAUAGGUAUGCGAGGCGAACCGGGUGAACUGAAACAUCUCAGUAGCUCGAGGAAAAGAAAUCAACCGAGAUUCCGAUAGUAGCGGCGAGCGAAAUCGGAUCAGCCUUUGCGAUUUAGCUUCAUUGAUAGGGGAACAGUCUGGAAAGUCUGGCCAUAGCAGGUGAUAGUCCUGUACCCGAAAUCUUUGAUGUGGAACUAGGCGCAAGACAAGUAGGGCGGGACACGUGUAAUCCUGUCUGAACAUGGGGGGACCAUCCUCCAAGGCUAAAUACUCGUAAUCGACCGAUAGUGAACCAGUACCGUGAGG
This 473-nucleotide ribosomal RNA is filed under the name Pedobacter sp. RNAcentral's name for it is "partial 23S ribosomal RNA". It matches the Rfam family "Bacterial large subunit ribosomal RNA", at positions 1 to 508 of the family's 2925-position model. The record is from RNAcentral. Lineage: Bacteria; Pseudomonadati; Bacteroidota; Sphingobacteriia; Sphingobacteriales; Sphingobacteriaceae.